RNAcentral lists this long non-coding RNA (221 nucleotides) under Monodelphis domestica (gray short-tailed opossum). Its description in RNAcentral is "lncRNA (ENSMODG00000047835.1)". Lineage: Eukaryota; Metazoa; Chordata; Mammalia; Didelphimorphia; Didelphidae. The record is from RNAcentral.
AGAGAAGAAUGUUCUGACUGGACCUGAGACCCUGUUCCUGGUGAGACUGUCCUUGAAUCACUUCCUCUGGACUGAUGUGUGACCAAGUGAAAGAGGCAACAUACUGUCAAGUAUACUGCAUUUCCUGUGCUCUAGGGGAACUGUCCAACACAACUGUUCCUGAAGAAUUGGUGCUGAAUAUCAUUUUGAGGAAACUCAUCCAUAUAACUGGACUAUUUUAA